RNAcentral lists this ribosomal RNA (311 nucleotides) under uncultured eukaryote. RNAcentral's name for it is "partial 18S ribosomal RNA". It matches the Rfam family "Eukaryotic small subunit ribosomal RNA", at positions 1470 to 1796 of the family's 1831-position model. The record is from RNAcentral.
CCCUUAGAUGUUCUGGGCCGCACGCGCGCUACACUGACGAUGUCAGAGAGUGUCUCCUUCACCGAGAUGUGUGGGUAAUCUUUUAAACAUCGUCGUGCUGGGGAUAGAUCAUUGCAAUUUUUGAUCUUAAACGAGGAAUUCCUAGUAAGCGCGAGUCAUCAGCUCGCGCUGAUUACGUCCCUGCCCUUUGUACACACCGCCCGUCGCUACUACCGAUGAGUCGUCCGGUGAAGUUCGUAGACCUCGUGAUCGCGGAUCACUGGGGGAAGCAAAAUGAACCUCGCGGUUUAGAGGAAGGAGAAGUCGUAACA